Molecule: ribosomal RNA, 447 nt
Filed under: uncultured bacterium
Lineage: Bacteria
Description: bacterial SSU rRNA
Rfam family: Bacterial small subunit ribosomal RNA
Source: RNAcentral
UGGGGAAUUGUUCGCAAUGGGCGCAAGCCUGACGACGCAACGCCGCGUGAAGGAUGAAGUAUUUCGGUAUGUAAACUUCGAAAGAAUAGGAAGAAUAAAUGACGGUACUAUUUAUAAGGUCCGGCUAACUACGUGCCAGCAGCCGCGGUAAUACGUAGGGACCAAGCGUUGUUCGGAUUUACUGGGCGUAAAAGGCGCGUAGGCGGCAAUUCAAGUCAUCUGUGAAAUCUCCGGGCUUAACUCGGAACGGUCAGAUGAUACUGCUUUGCUAGAGUGCAGAAGGGGCAAUCGGAAUUCUUGGUGUAGCGGUGAAAUGCGUAGAUAUCAAGAGGAACACCUGAGGUGAAGACGGGUUGCUGGGCUGACACUGACGCUGAGGCGCGAAAGCCAGGGGAGCAAACGGGAUUAGAUACCCAAGUAGUCCCUGAGCGGGCUGGCAAGGCGCAU